This 254-nucleotide ribosomal RNA is filed under the name uncultured bacterium. RNAcentral describes it as "partial 16S ribosomal RNA". It matches the Rfam family "Bacterial small subunit ribosomal RNA", at positions 524 to 776 of the family's 1533-position model. The record is from RNAcentral.
UACAGAGGUCUCAAGCGUUGUUCGGAUUCAUUGGGCGUAAAGGGCGCGUAGGCGGUCGUGACAAGUCACUUGUGAAAUCUCCGGGCUUAACUCGGAACGGUCAAGUGAUACUGUCGGACUAGAGUACAGAAGGGGCAACUGGAAUUCUCGGUGUAGCGGUGAAAUGCGUAGAUAUCGAGAGGAACACCUGCGGCGAAGGCGGGUUGCUGGGCUGAUACUGACGCUGAUGCGCGAAAGCCAGGGGAGCGAACGGG